CAGAAAGCACCCUUAGACAAACACAGACGUGGGAAAGGAAUAAACUUGUGAGGCUCCAUCAGUUUCCCCAUUUGGCUCUUCAGCCCCCUUGCGAAACUGUCUGACCUCGGGCAUCUGCGGAAACGCAGACGCUGAGGAAGCACCGACAGAGGAGCGCUUGGGAUCUCUGCGGGCCCAGCCCAGACCAGUAACCUGCAGCCAAUGACUGACGUCCCAAUCCCUAGUCUGGGGACUGGGGGCUGGGGCGGCGCCACGCUGCUUUCCCGGGAGCCAGAAGACUCUGCUGGACCACCGAGCUCACGUGCAGAAAAGCUCGAGGCCCAGCCUCUGCCCCUGUGACAGGCGCCCAGGGAAAGAAGAGAGCCCUGGCUUCCUCAGGGGUCGGGGGAUGGGGAUGACAGGAUCUCCCUGUGUUGCCCAGGCGGAACUCAAACUCCUCCGCUCAAGCGAUUCUCCUGCCUCAGCCUCCCAACAGCUGCGAGUGCCAUCGUGCCCUAUUACUUUUGUUUAAAAAGGUUUGAAUAUUUAAAAUCAGUUCCAUUUAGUCAAAGAGUUACAAUUAUAGUUCAACUAAACCUGCAGUCAAUGUAAGUAUUCAUACCCUAAGAAAAAGCACCACAAAAUGAUGUCUGUGAUUGUUAACGGUUGAUUGGUUUCCUGUGUCCAUAGUGGACAAUAUUAUGAAGCAUAGACAGAGAAACAUGUUUACUAAGAAGCUUUUUUUUCCUUCCAGGAAAUUCUGUAGGUGAAAAUGUUGAAAUUGUCAGUUGAAAUAUCUGGUGAAGUCUAACAUUAACAUUAAAUAAAAAGCAAGUGACAGGAGAGUACUGAUGUAUAUUCCUCUUGGGAGAUUAACUCUUUCUCUGCUAGUCCCCCCCUCACACCCCCACCCCUGAAUUUGCCCACAGCCAUAGCAGGGCCGUCAGUGUUUCGGGAUGCCAGGCAGACGUAAUUCGGCUUCAGAGCGCCUUGCUUAAGCAAAAGGCUGUGUGUACGUUCCCCAGGAGUCCGAGGACGGGCAGGCUGGCAAAGGCUGGCCCUGGUCACCGCUGGGAGAGGACGCCCCCGGGCUGGCUGCUGUUGCUGCUGGGGCUACUCCUCCCCGCCCCGGUCCUCCUCCAGCUUCUCAGCCGCAGCCGCGCUUCCUGCUCUGGGGCUCUCGCAGCUGUUUAGGUUUAAGCUCAAAUCGAAGCUUGGAGAGGAAGCCCCACAGCUGCGGUUCGACCCUGCCCCGGCAGACCGAGAUGAAAGCAGCUUGCGGAGGCUGCUCCGGCACCCGGCGCGGGCACGCGAGGGAAGAAGCCCCGCGCAAAGCAGCGCAGCCUUGGCUUUUGAAGCUGCCCUCUAUGCACUUCCUCCGGCUUCCAGCCGGAAUCUACGACCCAUCCGCAGAGCGGGCUGGGUAAGGUUGUGCGGCAGCAGCAACCCCGAGGGAAAGAAUUUUGUUUCUUUUUGAGGCCCUGCUGCAUUUCUGGUUCCCAGCCUGGAGCAGGGGGCGCCUCGCUCCCCGGAGUCCCACAGGCUUGGGCCGCAGCUGGGCCGACGCGGUCGACAGGUGUGUGAGGCCGAACCCCGGAGCACCGGGAGGCGGCUGGGAGCCAGGGCAGAACGCCUGGGGCGCAUCCUCAGGGAGGAAUCAUCUGGCGUUCAAGCCGCUCUCGGGUCUUUUGCUGGAUCUGCAGAUCGGCUCACGCAGCAGGAGCCCAAGGAGCAGAACCUGGGCAUGCCAGACUUUGCAGUCGCGCACGCCACCCAGCGCCCGCCUUGCGCUGGUCUCAGCUGGCGUUCCCUCUAUUAGGCAGAUCGCUUAGCGCUUGGGUCGGUUUUAGUUCUCCAGUGUCUCUCUCCAAAGGAAGCGCAGUGUAGUCGUUACUUCUCUACUCUCAGCUCCUAGAGCGAUACCGGGCACACAGCAGCGCGCAAUAAAGUAUUGGCUCUUUCAUUUAACAUGUGUCUGUUGAGCGCUCACUAUGUCCUAAACACCCAAGGCCUCCAGCCUCAGGAAGCUUAAUUUCCAGUUGUUUGGAUGAAUGGGAAAACAAUAAGGUAUUGUUCUUGCGUUGCUAUAAAGAAAUACCUGAGGCCGGGUAAUUU
Molecule: long non-coding RNA, 2094 nt
Filed under: Homo sapiens (human)
Lineage: Eukaryota; Metazoa; Chordata; Mammalia; Primates; Hominidae
Description: HSALNT0110490
Source: RNAcentral